CCAAAAAAAAUUAAACAAUAGUAUCAACCCACUCAUAGAUAGGUAUAGAGUCCAUCUGUUCCAGAACUCACCGCCCUCCUCUCUCAAUUACGAAUGUCGUCGCUCCAGUCACUCGUAUUUCCACUCUCUUCGUCACUCCAAACCCUAACCCUAUAAAAUUUUACCCACUAGAUUCUCUUUUUACAUCCGAAACGACUGAUCGGACAAUUCAGCAAUGGCCCAGUACAGGCAAUCGGGAUUCGACAGGGUUUUGGGUCGGAAUGGCGGCUCCGAUCACGUUUCCAUCGGGAUUCGCGCAUCUAAUCCACCACACAAGCAAUCGCGAAUUGUCCAUCAUCGGUGGUUCAAGGGCCGGAAAAUCUCCAUUGGCGCUCUAGUUCUUAUUCUCUCUGUUGCUUUUGUCGUCUCUGUCUCAGUUUUUCUAUAUCUCUCCGGAGAUAAAGGUUAGUGAUUUUCUCAAUUUGGGGAUUUUUUUAUAACUUAGAUUGAUUUGCUUGUUUGUUUGGUGGCUGUAAAGUGUUUGAUUUAGUAUUGGGGAUUUUAGUUUAUAAAUCUGGAUGUCAUAAAAUCUAAUUAUGAUCACUUUGAUAUUAUAUUAUUACCCAAUUGAAUGUUAUGAACUUACUAACUUAGUAAGUUCAUUAAUCUUCCUUUGAUAUUAUACUAUUACCCAAUUGAUAUUCUACUGCUGCUGGAGAUGUGCCUUGGUAUGCUGCUACGGAUGUGCUUGGCCUUGGUAUACUGCUAUGCUCUAAUUGCACUCGGCCUAAUCCUAGUUUAAGCUUUAAGCCCAUGACUUAAUGUAGUAGUACUUUGUUCUGAAUUAAAAUUUAUUUACCGGAUCUCUAUUUAAAGGUUAUUCUUCUAUUCAGUUUAUUUGAAAAUUGCAAGAUUUAGGUUUUAAAAAGUAGGGGAAUUUUUGUAAAUUUAAUUUUGGUUACGUGUUUAAUAAAAAAAUCGUCGUUCGAUUUGGAUGCAAUUAUAAUAUACUACAGGUUGAAUGGAGAAGCAGAAGAAGUCUGAAUGAUUCGAUUGAAUAUAUAUACAUACAUACAUACUUACUUACCAUGCAUACGCAUACCCACCAAUUAAUCACAAGUAUUGUUUCUCCGUGGCAUAUAUCUAUUGGGCCUGUGCCCUACUAUUGUUUAUCUUCAACAUCUGAUUGAUUUUAAUUGGAAGGUAUACAAUACUUUCCAUUAUAGAGUCUCUUUCCCCUAAUAUAAUAUUGGUGUUUUGUUUGAACCAAAAUUAGUUAAUUCGUAUUAUUAUUUAUUAUUUUUAUUUAUCUUUAGAAAUUAGUAUUGACCUUUAUUAGGGUUCCUUAAUUUGGAAUUCAUCGGGUCUGCAUUUGUGAGUGAUUCAAGGUAAGACGGAUUAGGGUUGGAGUUUAUCCAGAAAACAUGUUUGUUCAAAUAUCCACUAAUUUGGGUAUUCUGAUUAUUUUUCUAUUUGAAAUUUUGAAACACCACAGUUGGAUUGUAUUGGAAUCAGGCUCAGUGAACAAUCAAGGUCCAUAAUUGGUGGCCGUUUUCGCGGGAUUUUGGGAUUGUUUCCUAUUUGGGGAAUUAAGAUUGCAAUCACUCGGUCCGUAUCUUUUCCUUUCCUUUCUUAUUAAUGAUUCUCUUUAGGGAAUUGAAUAUGACGGUGGCCAAAUGAAAUUUUCACAAUGAGUGAGGCAAGAGGAUUGUCUGUCCAUGGAUGCUGCGGACAUGUCAUUCUCUGAUCUUGUAGGUAUAUUGAAAUCUUUGAUCCCUUGGCGGUCCGAGUCUGCUAAUGUGUCGAGGGACUUUUGGAUGCCCGAUCAUAGAUGCAGGGUAUGCUAUGACUGUGACUCCCAAUUCACGCUGUUCAACCGAAGGCACCACUGUCGACUCUGUGGCCAGGUUUUUUGUGGCGGGUGUACUACAAAUUGGGUUCCUACAUCAUCUUGUUAGCCGAGAACUACCCGGGAAGGGUGGGAUAAGAUUAGGGUCUGUAAUUACUGCUUCAAGCAAUGGGAGCAAGGCUUAGCUGCUACUUCUAAUAAUGUGAUCCUGGUCACCAACCUGGAUAUCAUCUCUUCACCAUCAGCGACCAGUUUCAUUAGUACUAAAUCUAGUUGCACUGCUGACAGUAGCAGCACUACUCUUGCGUCCAUUCAACAGUCGAUUGGCACUUACCAACAAAAUCCUUAUCCUUCUGGAAUCAGCCCACGCCAAUCAGCAGAAAUGGAAACAACUUCUGAAAGGGAAGGUGUAGAAGCAUCAAGGAGGAGCAGUGAUCAUGGUACAAACGUGAUGGAACCGUCUCUCAAGCCAUUUGCAUAUUGCAUGAACAUGUUUUGUUCCAUUUUUGUCUCAUAAGUUACUUCAUGCUUCAAUUUUUUUGCGUUUAAAACCUUGUAAUGAGUAGUUUGGUAUUGAGACUUCCGCCCAUAGGCAUUUAACAGUUACAUAUCACAUAUGACAUCUUUCUGUUCUCUAUACUGUUUGGUACUUGAUCAUAUUGGGCCACAAUGCAUCGGCUGUAGUUGAUUCGUGGAACUCAUCUUUCUGUUCUCUAUACUAUUUGGUACUUGAUCAUAUUGGGCCACAAUGCAUGGGCUGUAGUUGAUUCGUAGAACUCAUGAUGAAGUGAUGACGAGUUGUUAUAGUUGUUCAUCAAUACAUCAGUAGAGUGUUUUUAGAUGGCUGAAUGAGUAGCAGUCUAAUCCUGAUGCUUUAUGCCUACUCAAGGGCUCAAUAGGGUCCUGUACAGGCUUAGGCUUGUGCUUGUUUUUGUUGGUGGUUGGUUUUAUUAAUACUGCCAUUACUUGCCUGAAUUAUUUGGUUGUGGGCCAGAGGAUUGGCAUUUUUGAUGGCAGUGUCCUCCCUCAUGAAUGCUGUUGCAUCUUCUUAAACUACCAAUUGCUUUAAAAAUUCCAUGAUUCCAAUAUUCUCCAACUUUUUCUGAAAUCCUCACUAGACACGCCACUAAAAUCUUUAUAGCAGUACUGUCAAAAUUGUAGAGCGAAAACUCAAAAUUCUAGUCUAUAAAGUUUAAAAAGUUAAUGUUAAAAAACAAUCAUCAAUUUUUAAUUUUUAAUUUAUUUUUUGUAUGUCCAAGUGUGGCAUGCAAAACUUAAUAUUCUUAAAAUCAAAUGUUUGUGAUUAUAGCUAGCAUCUUUGGGGCAUAUACUAUAUGUAAAUUUGUCGUCUCAAGAAAAGUUUUUCCACAUUGACUAAUAGCCUUAACUUUUUCAUAAUUGUUGUCCUUUUUAUAUAGAAAUCUAAACAUUGUUAUUUAAGAUUGUAUGAUGGUAUUUAAGAUUGUGUGAUGCUUGUGGUUGUUGAAUGUGACUGAAUUCUGACUUGAGGUCAACAUAUAAUAAUAAUAUACAAGUCUUGUAACAGAAAAUAUGUUUAUUACUAUGCUUAUUGAAAUUAAUUCAUGAAAUGGCCGAUUAAGAUUCCAAUUUUUUCUUGUAACAGAGCAAUCAUAUAGUCGCACUGAAGGUUCUUUUUCUAUUUGAAAUUGUAACAAAUGAUAUUGUGAUUGCCUAUUUGUCUUUUUCUGCUUAUGAGCAAUACGAUGUACAUUAGUACCACAUAGCAACUUUAUUAUCUUUGUGUAUUGAUUUUGGCAUUAAGUGCCUCUGGUGACCUAUUUGCUUCAUUUUUCUGACUUGUUAUUAUUUUUAAAUAUGUGCAGGAAGACUACUUCUACGACCUGCCUUACAAUACUGGGUAUCAAAUUUCCGUGCUACGUUUACGGAAGACAAGGAACGAAAUUAUGAAGUGUACUCUCUCUAUAUAUGUAGAUAUAUACUUUGAUUGAAGAACUGCGGUAGCUUUAGAUGGUUAAUUGUAAAGAUAAUGAAUGAUAAUGUAGUGGAUGAUUUUAUUAAGUUAAUAAUAUUUUAGUUUUUUGUAUUUUUGCUAUUAUUU
Molecule: long non-coding RNA, 3908 nt
Filed under: Panax ginseng (ginseng)
Lineage: Eukaryota; Viridiplantae; Streptophyta; Magnoliopsida; Apiales; Araliaceae
Description: long non-coding RNA (PGIN_LNC006479)
Source: RNAcentral